This 252-nucleotide unclassified non-coding RNA is filed under the name Glomeraceae sp. Its description in RNAcentral is "partial internal transcribed spacer 2". The stretch from base 1 to 71 matches the Rfam family "5.8S ribosomal RNA", at positions 84 to 154 of the family's 154-position model. Lineage: Eukaryota; Fungi; Glomeromycota; Glomeromycetes; Glomerales; Glomeraceae. The record is from RNAcentral.
GUGAAUCAUCAAAUCUUUGAACGCAAAUUGCACUCCCUGGGAUGCCUGGGAGUAUGCCUGGGUGAGGGUCGUUAGAAAAAAAAGCGAAGCAUCUCUCUUUUUUUUGAGGGUGAUGGCGUCGUAAUUGAGCCGUCGUUCAAAUGUUAAUUCAUGUCAAAUUGGCUUAAAACUCAUCCAUCCGGUUCGAUUAAUUCGUAUUUAAGAUCGAUUUUGUUUAAGAACGCGCGAUGGCUUACCAUCUCAUGUGGUGCG